UACGUAGGUGGCAAGCGUUGUCCGGAUUUAUUGGGUUUAAAGGGUGCGUAGGCGGCCCUGUAAGUCAGUGCUGAAAUACCCCGGCUUAACCGGGGGGGGUGGCAUUGAUACUGCAGGGCUUGAGUACAGAUGAGGUAGGCGGAAUUGACGGUGUAGCGGUGAAAUGCAUAGAUAUCGUCAAGAACACCGAUAGCGAAGGCAGCUUACUGGGCUGUAACUGACGCUGAUGCACGAAAGUGUGGGGGAUCAAACAGG
This 255-nucleotide ribosomal RNA is filed under the name uncultured bacterium. RNAcentral's name for it is "partial 16S ribosomal RNA". It matches the Rfam family "Bacterial small subunit ribosomal RNA", at positions 524 to 776 of the family's 1533-position model. The record is from RNAcentral.